GGAGCUCCGCAGCUUAGCUAAGGUUUGAAGGCAUGUGUGUUUUAUUGUGCUGCGGUGAUGCAAGAUUCUUAUCAGCGUGUUAAAACAAUGAUGCAGCAGUUAUGGGCCGCCAAGCGCCGGUGCCUGUGCCAGCACACUGGGGCAGUCGUGCCAGGGACGUGAGUGUGCCACCCUCUCGAAUCUGGGCAUUCCCUGCGCCCCUGUUUGCACUUCACUCUGCUGUUGUCUAAACCAUGAGUGAAACCAAAAACAGAAGUCGCUGUGAGGCAGCAAAACCCGAUCUCAUCCCCUGGGUCACGUUUCGCUGUCCCACCUGGAGCGAGGCUGCGGUGGCUGCUGCGCAGCUGCGGGCAGAACCCUCUCGGGCAGGAGUUUCUCCACGAUCAGUGAUGCCUCACCAAGAAAAACACCGGGAGUCAGACGUUAGAGAGACCCAAAUGAAGUCUGUGGAGCAAAGCGUCUCAAGUUGCUCCCUGGAUCCACAGUAGCUGCAAGAACCUUCCUGUGGCACAAACGGACUCCACACUGAUGCUCUUACAGUGCUUCUAGAGUGACCACCAAGUUCAAACUCAGCCUUGAUAUACACAUCUCAUUUAUCUGCAAUUUUGAACAGCAUAAAAGGAGCCUGGCUGCUUUUUAAAUAAUGCGAUCGACACUUCGUCGAGUCACCAGCGUGUAUGACCUGUCCCUUUACAGUCACAGCAGGACCUCAUUGCCUGCACAAUGCUGCAACACUGUGGUCAACAGAUCUGCCUCAGCUCCCUGCUCGCCCUCCUCUUGAGAGUCCUCCAUGGCAUGAUGAAGGGAAAGAGAAGCAAAGGUAAUAUAACAGUUAGAAUAAAAUUGUUAUACUCCUAGGAAUCCUUCACCUUAAACCUGUGACUAAAUAAAUAAAUAAAUAAAUAUGUAAAUAUUAUUCUUUAAAACUCCAAUUUGAGUUACAAUGCUGUCAGAAGGUGGCACUUUCACAUGGGCUAAGGCAUUAGCUUUGUCAUUUCUUUACUCAAGAGGUGCGACCCAUUAGCCACAACCCAAAUCACCGUAUCUGCGUUUCUCCAUUACCCAAAUCCAAGGAGAAUUAAUCUAAUAGAGGCACAAAGGUCAUUGCAAUGUAUGUUUGUAUUUAUACAAGGGAGUUGAUGCUUUACUGCCAGAUAGAGGUGUAACAUAAUUUGAUUCAAGAGAAUUAAUCCUUACUGACCACAGCGUAAGUGUGAUAAAAGUGUGCUCCUGUUCAUUUACAGGAGUCUUCUGGAUUCAAGAUGUAUGUCCUC
Oxyura jamaicensis (ruddy duck) is the source of this 1274-nucleotide long non-coding RNA. RefSeq lists it as uncharacterized. The record is from RefSeq and is a predicted model, not a curated record. The transcript has 4 exons. NCBI's taxonomy places the organism in Eukaryota, Metazoa, Chordata, Aves, Anseriformes, Anatidae.